UCAUGCUUAUGGUGCUUUUUGUUUGGAAAAAAAUUGCACAUUAAAAUUUGAUGAUCCAAUAAUUUUAGUUUUUGUGGAAAAUGCACAGAAGUUCCUUCCAGCUGUUGCAUGGAAAACCUUUAAGAAGAGCUGAAGAAAUGAUAACUGCUGUGGUGAAAAAUGUGUGACAAGUUGCAUCAUUUGGGGAGGUAACCUGAAAAAAACUGUAACCUGCUGCAGGUUUACUUUGAAAACAUCCAGAUGUGAGAUUUCUGAUUUGAACAACUGCGACGCUGCGACAUUUGAAUUUCUCCAAAGGCGAAAUGAUUAUAUCAAAAGAAGAAAUGUUCUUUCCAUCAGACUAUUUUGGGAUAAUCGUGUGGAUCAACAUCCAUCUCUGCUUUCCUCUCACCUUUCUGGUAAUUCCUCUGUGUUUUAUGGUCCGACUGGAUCACAUUCCUGUCUCCUACUACAUAAACCUCCUCAUAUCCAAUUUGAUCCUGAUCAUCACUCUGAUCUCUGAUAAUGCAUUUAGUCCUUCUAAAUACGAUUAUACCCUCGUACAUCACUGGCCACCCUACUUGUGCUUUGGGGUGGCCAGCGCUUGCUUCAAGAUGAUUUUUGCAGUAGAAAGGUUUCUUUUCCUCUACAGGCCACAGUUUCACUUCAUAAGAAAGACAAAAGGCUUUAUAACAGUCUGUGUU
Long non-coding RNA from Xiphophorus hellerii (green swordtail), 683 nucleotides. RefSeq lists it as uncharacterized. The transcript has 4 exons. The record is from RefSeq and is a predicted model, not a curated record. NCBI's taxonomy places the organism in Eukaryota, Metazoa, Chordata, Actinopteri, Cyprinodontiformes, Poeciliidae.